GAUGAACGCUAGCGGCAGGCCUAAUACAUGCAAGUCGGACGGGAUUCAGGAGCUUGCUUCUGAUGAGAGUGGCGCACGGGUGCGUAACACGUAUGUAACCUACCUUUAUCAGGGGGAUAGCCUCUCGAAAGAGAGAUUAAGCCCGCAUAAAAUCACAGCACAGCAUUGUGUAAUGAUCAAAUAUUUAUAGGAUAAAGAUGGGCAUGCGGAACAUUAGCUAGAUGGCGGGGUAACGGCCCACCAUGGCGACGAUGUUUAGGGGAUCUGAGAGGAUGGCCCCCCACACUGGUACUGAGACACGGACCAGACUCCUACGGGAGGCAGCAGUAAGGAAUAUUGGUCAAUGGGCGGAAGCCUGAACCAGCCAUGCCGCGUGCAGGAAGACGGCCCUACGGGUUGUAAACUGCUUUUAUACGGGAAUAAACCCAGAUACGUGUAUCUGGCUGAAUGUACUGUAAGAAUAAGAAUCGGCUAACCCCGUG
RNAcentral lists this ribosomal RNA (482 nucleotides) under uncultured bacterium. RNAcentral's name for it is "partial 16S ribosomal RNA". It matches the Rfam family "Bacterial small subunit ribosomal RNA", at positions 28 to 507 of the family's 1533-position model. The record is from RNAcentral.